AUGGUAUAUGCACACCUCUUCGCGUUCUUCAAUAGUGUGAUGUGGUCAUUGUAUGCCUCGACGGAUCUCCCCAACAAGCUCUUGCUCUUCAUCAUCAGUGGAAUGGGCAUCAUCGCUCAUUUUUUCUACAUCAACUUCUACAUCAAGUUUGCAAAAGGGAAGAAGCGCAUGGAAGCCCUUGUCCUUCUAUUCACAGUCAGCAUGGUCUCUGUGAUAAUGAUAGUAAUAGUACUCUCUAUGGUGCUAACGCAUAGGUGGAGUAGUACUUUCGUCAAUGUCAUUGCUUCAACAUCUGGAGCAUCUACACAUAUUGUUCCUAUAUAUGACCUGGUGAGUGCAAGCUACAGCUAG
Molecule: ribosomal RNA, 351 nt
Filed under: Triticum aestivum (bread wheat)
Lineage: Eukaryota; Viridiplantae; Streptophyta; Magnoliopsida; Poales; Poaceae
Description: partial small subunit ribosomal RNA
Source: RNAcentral